UACGGAAGGCAGCAGUGGGGAAUAUUGCACAAUGGGCGAAAGCCUGAUGCAGCUAUGCCGCGUGUAUGAAGAAGGCCUUAGGGUUGUAAAGUACUUUCAUCGGGGAGGAAAAACAAAACUAAUAAUUUUAUUUCUUGACGUUACCCGAAAAAGAAGCACCGGCUAACUCCGUGCCAGCAGCCGCGGUAAUACGGAGGGUGCUAGCGUUAAUCAGAAUUACUGGGCGUAAAGAGCACGUAGGUGGUUUUUUUAAGUCAGAUGUGAAAUCCCUGGGCUUAACCUAGGAACUGCAUUUUGAAACUGAAAUACUAGAGUAUCGUAGAGGGAGGUAGAAUUCUAGGUGUAGCGGUGAAAUGCGUAGAUAUCUGGAGGAAUACCUGUGGCGAAAGCGGCCUCCUAAACGAAUACUGACACUGAGGUGCGAAAGCGUGGGGAGCAAACAGGAUUAGACUACC
Molecule: ribosomal RNA, 455 nt
Filed under: uncultured bacterium
Lineage: Bacteria
Description: bacterial SSU rRNA
Rfam family: Bacterial small subunit ribosomal RNA
Source: RNAcentral